RNAcentral lists this ribosomal RNA (730 nucleotides) under uncultured bacterium. RNAcentral's name for it is "bacterial SSU rRNA". It matches the Rfam family "Bacterial small subunit ribosomal RNA", at positions 60 to 807 of the family's 1533-position model. The record is from RNAcentral.
AGUCGAGCGAUGAACACCUUCGGGUGUGAAUUAGCGGCGAACGGGUGAGGAACACGUGAAGAAUCUGCCUUCAACUCUGGGAUAACUCCGGGAAACCGGGGCUAAUACCGGAUAUGAGCCUCGAUCGCAUGAUUGGGGCUGGAAAGUUUUUCGGUUGAAGAUGACUUCGCGGCCUAUCAGCUUGUUGGUGAGGUAAUGGCUCACCAAGGCGACGACGGGUAGCCGGCCUGAGUGGGCGACCGGCCACACUGGGACUGAGACACGGCCCAGACUCCUACGGGAGGCAGCAGUGGGGAAUAUUGGGCAAUGGAGGAAACUCUGACCCAGCGACGCCGCGUGAGGGAUGAAGGCCUUCGGGUUGUAAACCUCUUUCAGUAGGGAAGAAGCGAAAGUGACGGUACCUACAGAAGAAGCACCGGCUAACUAUGUGCCAGCAGCCGCGGUAAUACAUAGGGUGCAAGCGUUGUCCGGAAUUAUUGGGCGUAAAGAGCUCGUAGGUGGUUCGAUACGUCGGAUGUGAAAAUCAGGGGCUCAACCCCUGACCUGCAUCCGAUACGGUCGAGCUAGAGUUUGGUAGGGGAGACUGGAAUUCCUGGUGUAGCGGUGGAAUGCGCAGAUAUCAGGAGGAACACCGAUGGCGAAGGCAGGUCUCUGGGCCAAUACUGACACUGAGGAGCGAAAGCGUGGGGAGCGAACAGGAUUAGAUACCCUGGUAGUCCACGCCGUAAAC